RNAcentral lists this long non-coding RNA (277 nucleotides) under Panax ginseng (ginseng). Its description in RNAcentral is "long non-coding RNA (PGIN_LNC015388)". The record is from RNAcentral. Lineage: Eukaryota; Viridiplantae; Streptophyta; Magnoliopsida; Apiales; Araliaceae.
ACUCUUGAUGUAUAGGAUAUCCAAAUAUCCGCCAUGCCGCCUCUGUAGGCCCAAUGUACCUUGAGUCAAUAUACUGCUUAAUCUCAUCUACGGCCCCCAAUACCAAAGUUGUGCGAUCGUAACCCUUGUAAAUGUAUUUAUUGAUAUACUUUACGCACCUUACUCCUGCACAAACUUCCACAUUUAUAUGGCAACUAAACAAUCUAGAGAGGUGUGGAUUAUAUGGUACAACAUCUCUAUUAUCAACUUCAUGUCCAGACCUUAGACAAUGUUUUCG